UACGUAGGGGGCAAGCGUUGUCCGGAUUUAUUGGGCGUAAAGAGCUUGUAGGCGGUUUGUCGCGUCUGCUGUGAAAAUCCGGGGCUCAACCCCGGACUUGCAGUGGGUACGGGCAGACUAGAGUGUGGUAGGGGAGACUGGAAUUCCUGGUGUAGCGGUGAAAUGCGCAGAUAUCAGGAGGAACACCGGUGGCGAAGGCAGGUCUCUGGGCCGCUACUGACGCUGAGAAGCGAAAGCAUGGGGAGCAAACAGG
RNAcentral lists this ribosomal RNA (253 nucleotides) under uncultured bacterium. Its description in RNAcentral is "partial 16S ribosomal RNA". It matches the Rfam family "Bacterial small subunit ribosomal RNA", at positions 524 to 776 of the family's 1533-position model. The record is from RNAcentral.